Molecule: non-coding RNA, 72 nt
Organism: Podarcis lilfordi (Lilford's wall lizard)
Lineage: Eukaryota; Metazoa; Chordata; Lepidosauria; Squamata; Lacertidae
Source: the annotation of a GenBank genome assembly
AGAGAUGUAGCUCAGCAGUGGAGCAUCUUCCUUGCAUGAUGAGGGACCCGGGUUCAAUCCACAGCAUCUCCA